AGUGAACGCUGGCGGUAGGCCUAACACAUGCAAGUCGAACGGCAGCACAGUAAGAGCUUGCUCUUACGGGUGGCGAGUGGCGGACGAGUGAGGAAUACAUCGGAAUCUACUUUUUCGUGGGGGAUAACGUAGGGAAACUUACGCUAAUACCGCAUACGACCUACGGGUGAAAGCAGGGGAUCUUCGGACCUUGCGCGAUUGAAUGAGCCGAUGUCGGAUUAGCUAGUUGGCGGGGUAAAGGCCCACCAAGGCGACGAUCCGUAGCUGGUCUGAGAGGAUGACCAGCCACACUGGACCUGAGACACGGUCCAGACUCCUACGGGAGGCAGCAGUGGGGAAUAUUGGAAAAUGGGCGCAAGCCUGAUCCAGCCAUACCGCGUGGGUGAAGAAGGCCUUCGGGUUGUAAAGCCCUUUUGUUGGGAAAAAAAAGCAGCAGGUUAAUACCCCGCUGUUCUGACGGUACCAAAAGAAUAAGCACCGGCUAACUUCGU
This 491-nucleotide ribosomal RNA is filed under the name uncultured bacterium. RNAcentral's name for it is "partial 16S ribosomal RNA". It matches the Rfam family "Bacterial small subunit ribosomal RNA", at positions 29 to 506 of the family's 1533-position model. The record is from RNAcentral.